RNAcentral lists this ribosomal RNA (443 nucleotides) under uncultured bacterium. Its description in RNAcentral is "partial 16S ribosomal RNA". It matches the Rfam family "Bacterial small subunit ribosomal RNA", at positions 338 to 795 of the family's 1533-position model. The record is from RNAcentral.
CCUACGGGCGGCAGCAGUGGGGAAUAUUGGGCAAUGGGCGCAAGCCUGACCCAGCAACGCCGCGUGAAGGAAGAAGGCUUUCGGGUUGUAAACUUCUUUUGUCAGGGACGAAGCAAGUGACGGUACCUGACGAAUAAGCCACGGCUAACUACGUGCCAGCAGCCGCGGUAAUACGUAGGUGGCAAGCGUUAUCCGGAUUUACUGGGUGGAAAGGGCGUGGAGGCGGGACUGCAAGUCAGAUGUGAAAACCACGGGCGCAACCUGUGGCCUGCAUUUGAAACUGUAGUUCUUGUGUACUGGAGAGGCAGACGGAAUUCCUAGUGUAGCGGUGAAAUGCGGAGAUAUUAGGAGGAACACCAGUGGCGAAGGCGGUCUGCUGGACAGCAACUGACGCUGAGGCGCGAAAGCGUGGGGAGCAAACAGGAUUAGAUACCCUAGUAGUC